Molecule: ribosomal RNA, 535 nt
Filed under: uncultured bacterium
Lineage: Bacteria
Description: bacterial SSU rRNA
Rfam family: Bacterial small subunit ribosomal RNA
Source: RNAcentral
CCUACGGGAGGCAGCAGUGAGGAAUAUUGGACAAUGGUCGAAAGACUGAUCCAGCCAUGCCGCGUGCAGGAAGACGGCCCUAUGGGUUGUAAACUGCUUUUGUUUGGGAAGAAACCUUUCUACGUGUAGAAAGCUGACGGUACCAUACGAAUAAGCACCGGCUAACUCCGUGCCAGCAGCCGCGGUAAUACGGAGGGUGCAAGCGUUAUCCGGAUUUAUUGGGUUUAAAGGGUCCGUAGGCGGACUUAUAAGUCAGUGGUGAAAUCCUGCAGCUCAACUGUAGAACUGCCAUUGAUACUGUAAGUCUUGAAUUCGGUUGAAGUGGGCGGAGUAUGGCAUGUAGCGGUGAAAUGCUUAGAUAUGCCAUAGAACACCGAUUGCGUAGGCAGCUCACUAAGCCUGGAUUGACGCUGAGGGACGAAAGCGUGGGUAGCGAACAGGAUUAGAUACCCUGGUAGUCCACGACCGUAACGAUAGAUACUACGACAUAGUCGAUACACGGUUAGUUGUCUAUAAGACGAAGACAUUAAGUUAA